AGCGGCGGACGGGUGAGGAACACGUAGGAAUUUGCCUGGUAGUGGGGGAUAGCCCAGAGAAAUUUGGAGUAAUACCGCAUAUGCCCUGAGGGGGAAAGUGGGGGACCGCAAGGCCUCACGCUAUCAGAGAAGCCUGCGUCGGAUUAGCUAGUUGGUAGGGUAAAGGCCUACCAAGGCGACGAUCCGUAGCUGGUCUGAGAGGAUGAUCAGCCACACUGGGACUGAGACACGGCCCAGACUCCUACGGGAGGCAGCAGUGGGGAAUAUUGGACAAUGGGCGAAAGCCUGAUCCAGCCAUGCCGCGUGUGUGAAGAAGGCCUUCGGGUUGUAAAGCACUUUAAGUGGGGAGGAAAAGCGGUACGUGAAUAUCGUGCAGCCAUGACGUUACCCACAGAAUAAGCACCGGCAAACUCCGUGCCAGCAGCCGCGGUAAUACGGAGGGUGCGAGCGUUAAUCGGAAUUACUGGGCGUAAAGCGCACGUAGGCGGUCAUGUAAGUGGGAUGUGAAACCCCCGGGCUUAACCUGGGACUUGCAUACCAGACUGCAUGGCUAGAGUAUGAGAGAGGGUGGUGGAAUUUCCGGUGUAGCGGUGAAAUGCGUAGAGAUCGGAAGGAACAUCAGUGGCGAAGGCGGCCACCUGGCUUAAUACUGACGCUGAGGUGCGAAAGCGUGGGGAUCAAACAGGAUUAGAUACCCUGG
RNAcentral lists this ribosomal RNA (700 nucleotides) under uncultured bacterium. RNAcentral describes it as "bacterial SSU rRNA". It matches the Rfam family "Bacterial small subunit ribosomal RNA", at positions 94 to 790 of the family's 1533-position model. The record is from RNAcentral.